UACAGAGGAUGCAAGCGUUAUCCGGAAUGAUUGGGCGUAAAGCGUCUGUAGGUGGCUUUUUAAGUCCGCCGUCAAAUCCCAGGGCUCAACUCUGGACAGGCGGUGGAAACUACCAAGCUGGAGUACGGUAGGGGCAGAGGGAAUUUCCGGUGGAGCGGUGAAAUGCGCAGAUAUCAGGAGGAACACCGGUGGCGAAGGCGGGUCUCUGGGCCGAUACUGACGCUGAGACGCGAAAGCGUGGGGAGCGAACAGG
RNAcentral lists this ribosomal RNA (253 nucleotides) under uncultured bacterium. Its description in RNAcentral is "partial 16S ribosomal RNA". It matches the Rfam family "Bacterial small subunit ribosomal RNA", at positions 524 to 776 of the family's 1533-position model. The record is from RNAcentral.